This 467-nucleotide ribosomal RNA is filed under the name uncultured bacterium. Its description in RNAcentral is "partial 16S ribosomal RNA". It matches the Rfam family "Bacterial small subunit ribosomal RNA", at positions 28 to 506 of the family's 1533-position model. The record is from RNAcentral.
GACGAACGCUGGCGGCGUGCUUAACACAUGCAAGUCGAACGGAAAGGCCCUGCUUUUGUGGGGUGCUCGAGUGGCGAACGGGUGAGUAACACGUGAGUAACCUGCCCUUGACUUUGGGAUAACUUCAGGAAACUGGGGCUAAUACCGGAUAGGAGCUCCUGCUGCAUGGUGGGGGUUGGAAAGUUUCGGCGGUUGGGGAUGGACUCGCGGCUUAUCAGCUUGUUGGUGGGGUAGUGGCUUACCAAGGCUUUGACGGGUAGCCGGCCUGAGAGGGUGACCGGCCACAUUGGGACUGAGAUACGGCCCAGACGCCAACGGGAGGCAGCAGUGGGGAAUAUUGCACGAUGGGCGGAAGCCUGAUGCAGCAACGCCGCGUGCGGGAUGACGGCCUUCAGGUGGUAAACCGCUUUCGCGUGUGACGAAGCGUGAGUGACGGUAAUGGGUAAAGAAGCACCGGCUAACUACGG